Molecule: long non-coding RNA, 1969 nt
Filed under: Coturnix japonica (Japanese quail)
Lineage: Eukaryota; Metazoa; Chordata; Aves; Galliformes; Phasianidae
Description: lncRNA (ENSCJPG00005000162.1)
Source: RNAcentral
UAAUCUAUGGGUCUCUAUGGGGUGUCUAUGGGUCUCUAUGGGUCUCUAUGUGUCUCUAAUGGGUCCAGUACCCACCAUUUCCACCUCUAGCUGUCUCUCUCAGUGCACAGUUGUCCCAUAAUCGUCCUUCCAGGGGUCUAUGUGUGUCUAUGGGGUGUCUAUAGGGCUCUAUGGGGUCUAUGGGUGUCUAUAGGGCUCUAUGGGGUCUAUGUGUAUCUAUGGGGUAUCUAUGGGUCUCUAUGUGUCUCUAUGGGUCCAUACCCACCCUUAGCUGUCUCCUCAGUGCACAGUUGAUCCCAUAAUCGUCCUUCCAGGGGUCUAUGUGUGUCUAUGGGGUGUCUAUAGGGCUCUAUGGGUCUCUAUGGGUCUCUAUAGGUCUCUAUGGGGUCUAUGGGUCUCUAUGGGGUGUCUAUAGGUCUCUAUGGGGUCCAUACCCACCCUUAGCUGUCUCCUCAAUGCACAGUUGAUCCCAUAAUUGUCCUUCCAGGGGUCUAUGUGUGUCUAUGGGGCUGAGUGGUGUCUAUAGGGCUCUAUGGGGUCUAUGGGUCCCUAUGUGUCUCUAUGGGUCUCUAUGGGUCCAUACCCACCCUUAGCCUCCUCCUGAGCACACAGUUGAUGCCAUAAUCGUCCUUCCAGGGGUCUAUGUGUAUCUAUGGGUCUCUAUGGGGUGUCUAUGGGUCUCUAUGGGUCUCUAUGGGUCUCUAUGUGUCUCUAUGGGGCUGAGUGGUGUCUAUGGGUCUCUAUGGGUCUCUAUGUGUCUCUAUGGGUCCAUACCCACCCUGAGCCGUGCCCUGAGCACACAGUUGAUGCCAUAAUCGUCCUUCCAGGCCCUUUGUGCCUCCUGCAGGCUGGUCAGUGUUGGCACGUUGCGCCGCAGCAGCUGCAGGUCACACAGCCCGUGAUCCAGCCGGAACAUGGCGUCCGUGUGGAGACGGGAGUGGGACGAGGGGUCUAUGGGGGGGAAAUGGGGGUCAGGGACAUGACAGGACCCAUACAACCCUAUGGGACACAAUGGGACCCAAUGGGACCUGCCAGGACCUGAAGGACCCUAUGGGACACAAUGGGACCCAAUGGGACCUGAAGGACCCUAUAGGACACAAUGGGACCCAAUGGGACCUGAAGGACCCUAUAGGGACCCAAUGGGACCUGAAGGACCCUACAGGACACAAUGGGACCCAAUGGGACCUGCCAGGACCUGAAGGACCCUAUGGGACACAAUGGGACCCAAUGGGACCUGAAGGACCCUAUGGGACACAAUGGGACCCAAUGGGACCUGAAGGACCCUAUGGGACACAAUGGGACCUUUGUAACCCAAUGGGACCCAAUGGAACCUGACAGGACCUGAAGGACCCUAUAGGGACACAAUGGGACCCAAUGGGACCUGUAGGACCCUAUAGGACACAAUGGGACCCAAUGGGACCUGUAGGACCCUAUAGGGACACAAUGGGACCUGAAGGACCCUAUAGGGACACAAUGGGACCCAAUGGGACCUGACAGGACCUUUGUAACCCAAUGGGACCCAAUGGGACCUGUAGGACCCUAUAGGGACACAAUGGGACCCAAUGGGACCUGCCAGGACCUGUAUAAUCCUAUAGGGACACAAUGGGACCCAAUGGGACCUGUAUAACCCUAUAGGGACACAAUGGGACCCAAUGGGACCUGAAGGACCCUAUAGGGACACAAUGGGACCCAAUGGGACCUGUAUAACCCUAUAGGGACACAAUGGGACCUGCCAGGACCUUUAGAACCUAAUGGGACCCAAUGGGACCUGCCAGGACCCCCAUGGCCCCAUAGGGGUCCCAGUUGUGGGGCAGGACCCACCAGUGUGGGGCAGGACCCACCCCAGCCCCCUAUCACCCCAUAGGGCUCCCAGCUGUGGGGCAGGACCCACCCCAGCCCCCUAUCGCCCCAUAGGGGUCCCAGUUGUGGGGCAGGACCCACCGGUGUGGGGCAGGACCCACCCCAGCCC